AACUGAUACUACCUGCGGGAACCUGCGGAAGGAUCAUUACCGAGUUAUACAACUCCCAAACCCACUGUGAACCUUACCUCAGUUGCCUCGGCGGGAACGCCCCGGCCGCCUGCCCCCGCGCCGGCGCCGGACCCAGGCGCCCGCCGCAGGGACCCCAAACUCUCUUGCAUUACGCCCAGCGGGCGGAAUUUCUUCUCUGAGUUGCACAAGCAAAAACAAAUGAAUCAAAACUUUCAGCAA
RNAcentral lists this unclassified non-coding RNA (240 nucleotides) under soil metagenome. RNAcentral describes it as "partial contains 5.8S ribosomal RNA, internal transcribed spacer 2, and large subunit ribosomal RNA". The record is from RNAcentral.